RNAcentral lists this non-coding RNA (122 nucleotides) under Providencia alcalifaciens. RNAcentral describes it as "Moco (molybdenum cofactor) riboswitch". It matches the Rfam family "Molybdenum/Tungsten riboswitch aptamer (Moco RNA motif)", at positions 7 to 125 of the family's 135-position model. Lineage: Bacteria; Pseudomonadati; Pseudomonadota; Gammaproteobacteria; Enterobacterales; Morganellaceae. The record is from RNAcentral.
AGAUAAAACUCCUAGCCUUUGUGUCUAAGUUCUCCUGAAUAUGAUGCUCUGGCCGUGACCUUGAGUCACCAGGGUGCAAGAUAGAAAUGUCUGCAUCUCCCGUAUUUGGAAAGGUGUGAAUA